This 66-nucleotide transfer RNA is filed under the name human gut metagenome. It matches the Rfam family "tRNA". Rfam says of the family: Transfer RNA (tRNA) molecules are approximately 80 nucleotides in length. The record is from RNAcentral.
CUUAUGGUGUAAUGGAUAGCACAAUGGUCUUCGGAACCAUUAGUGAGGGUUCAAAUCCUUCUAGGC